GUAAAUAUAGCUUAACCAUAAAGCAUUAGAUUGUGAAUCUAAAGUUAGAGCCUUAGCAUCUCUUAUUUACC
This 71-nucleotide transfer RNA is filed under the name Callosciurus erythraeus (Pallas's squirrel). RNAcentral's name for it is "tRNA-His". It matches the Rfam family "tRNA". From Rfam's summary of the family: Transfer RNA (tRNA) molecules are approximately 80 nucleotides in length. Their secondary structure includes four short double-helical elements and three loops (D, anti-codon, and T loops). Lineage: Eukaryota; Metazoa; Chordata; Mammalia; Rodentia; Sciuridae. The record is from RNAcentral.